GGGGGAUAUUGCACAAUGGGGGAAACCCUGAUGCAGCGACCCCCCGUGGAGGAAGAAGGUUUUCGGAUUGUAAACUCCUGUCGUUAGGGACGAUAAUGACGGUACCUAACAAGAAAGCACCGGCUAACUACGUGCCAGCAGCCGCGGUAAAACGUAGGGUGCAAGCGUUGUCCGGAAUUACUGGGUGUAAAGGGAGCGCAGGCGGACCGGCAAGUUGGAAGUGAAAACUAUGGGCUCAACCCAUAAAUUGCUUUCAAAACUGCUGGCCUUGAGUAGUGCAUAGGUAGGUGGAAUUCCCGGUGUAGCGGUGGAAUGCGUAGAUAUCGGGAGGAACACCAGUGGCGAAGGGCGACCUACUGGGCACCAACUGACGCUGAGGCUCGAAAGCAUGGGUAGCAAACAGGAUUAGAUACCCUGGUAGUCCAUGCCGUAAACGAUGAUUACUAGGUGUUGGAGGAUUGACCCCUUCAGUGCCGCAGUUAACACAAUAAGUAAUCCACCUGGGGAGUACGACCGCAAGGUUGAAACUCAAAGGAAUUGACGGGGGCCCGCACAAGCAGUGGAGUAUGUGGUUUAAUUCGAAGCAACGCGAAGAACCUUACCAGGUCUUGACAUCCGAUGCAUAGUGCAGAGAUGCAUGAAGUCCUUCGGGACAUCGAGACAGGUGGUGCAUGGUUGUCGUCAGCUCGUGUCGUGAGAUGUUGGGUUAAGUCCCGCAACGAGCGCAACCCUUAUUGCCAGUUACUACGCAAGAGGACUCUGGCGAGACUGCCGUUGACAAACCGGAGGAAGGUGGGGAAGACGUCAAAUCAUCAUGCCCCUUAUGACCUGGGCUACACACGUAGUACAAUGGCGUUUAACAAAGAGAAGCAAGACCGCGAGGUGGAGCAAAACUCAAAAACAACGUCUCAGUUCAGAUUGCAGGCUGCAACUCGCCUGCAUGAAGUCGGAAUUGCUAGUAAUCGCGGAUCAGCAUGCCGCGGUGAAUACGUUCCCG
Molecule: ribosomal RNA, 997 nt
Filed under: uncultured bacterium
Lineage: Bacteria
Description: bacterial SSU rRNA
Rfam family: Bacterial small subunit ribosomal RNA
Source: RNAcentral